This 267-nucleotide unclassified non-coding RNA is filed under the name Hevea brasiliensis (rubber tree). The record is from RNAcentral. Lineage: Eukaryota; Viridiplantae; Streptophyta; Magnoliopsida; Malpighiales; Euphorbiaceae.
GCUUAGUUGUUGUUGUUGUUAUUAUCGUUGCUGAUGUUGCUUUCCUCUUAAUUUCAUUAACUACAAUACAUAAUUAAGUCUAUAUGCUUAUUAGAGAAUCUCCAUUAAUGCCCCUAUUGAACAUGUUCUGAAAAUGUUCAUUUUUUUAUAAGUUGCAAGCACAUUUUCAUUUAGGAAAAGGAAAACGUAAAGGAGUACCAUUGCUUCUUGUUUACAUGCAACCAAUGUACAUUAUGGUGCUACUGAUUAGUCAAUUGUGUUAUGCUG